Molecule: ribosomal RNA, 749 nt
Filed under: uncultured Glomeraceae
Lineage: Eukaryota; Fungi; Glomeromycota; Glomeromycetes; Glomerales; Glomeraceae
Description: SSU rRNA
Rfam family: Eukaryotic small subunit ribosomal RNA
Source: RNAcentral
GGCCUACCAUGGUGGUAACGGGUAACGGGGUGUUAGGGCACGACACCGGAGAGGGAGCCUGAGAAACGGCUACCACAUCCAAGGAUGGCAGCAGGCGCGCAAAUUACCCAAUCCCGACACGGGGAGGUAGUGACAAUAAAUAACAAUACGGGGUUCUUUAGGAUCUCGUAAUUGGAAUGAGUACAAUUUAAAUCUCUUAACGAGGAACAAUUGGAGGGCAAGUCUGGUGCCAGCAGCCGCGGUAAUUCCAGCUCCAAUAGCGUAUAUUAAAGUUGUUGCAGUUAAAAAGCUCGUAGUUGAAUUUCGGGGUUAGUAAGUUGGUCAUGCCUUUGGUAUGCACUGGCUUUACUGAUUCCUCCUUCUUGACGAACCGUGAUGUCAUUAAUUUGGUGUUGCGGGAAAUCAGGACUGUUACUUUGAAAAAAUUAGAGUGUUUAAAGCAGGCUAACGCUUGAAUACAUUAGCAUGGAAUAAUGAAAUAGGACGUUAAUCCUAUUUUGUUGGUUUCUAGGAUCGACGUAAUGAUUAAUAGGGAUAGUUGGGGGCAUUAGUAUUCAAUUGUCAGAGGUGAAAUUCUUGGAUUUAUUGAAGACUAACUACUGCGAAAGCAUUUGCCAAGGAUGUUUUCAUUAAUCAAGAACGAAAGUUAGGGGAUCGAAGACGAUCAGAUACCGUCGUAGUCUUAACCAUAAACUAUGCCGACUAGGGAUCGGAUGAUGUUAUUUUUAUGACUCAUUCGGCGCCUUACG